CCAGACUCCUACGGGAGGCAGCAGUGGGGGAUAUUGGACAAUGGGGGAAACCCUGAUCCAGCGACGCCGCGUGAGUGAAGAAGUAUUUCGGUAUGUAAAGCUCUGUCAGCAGGGAAGAAAGAAAUGACGGUACCUGACCAAGAAGCCCCGGCUAACUACGUGCCAGCAGCCGCGGUAAUACGUAGGGGGCAAGCGUUAUCCGGAAUUACUGGGUGUAAAGGGAGCGCAGGCGGUACGGCAAGUCUGAUGUGAAAGCCCGGGGCUCAACCCCGGUACUGCAUUGGAAACUACCGGACUGGAGUGUCGGAGGGGUAAGUGGAAUUCCUAGUGUAGCGGUGAAAUGCGUAGAUAUUAGGAGGAACACCAGUGGCGAAGGCGGCUUACUGGACGAUCACUGACGCUGAGGCUCGAAAGCGUGGGGAGCAAACAGGAUUAGAUACCCCAGUAG
Molecule: ribosomal RNA, 448 nt
Filed under: uncultured bacterium
Lineage: Bacteria
Description: bacterial SSU rRNA
Rfam family: Bacterial small subunit ribosomal RNA
Source: RNAcentral